UCUUCAGUAGCUCAGUCGGUUAGAGCAUCUGACUGUUAAUCAGAGGGUCGCUGGUUCAAGUCCAGCCUGAAGAGCCA
Molecule: transfer RNA, 77 nt
Filed under: Bacteroides gallinaceum
Lineage: Bacteria; Pseudomonadati; Bacteroidota; Bacteroidia; Bacteroidales; Bacteroidaceae
Also listed under: 2 other names
Description: tRNA-Asn
Rfam family: tRNA
About the family: Transfer RNA (tRNA) molecules are approximately 80 nucleotides in length. Their secondary structure includes four short double-helical elements and three loops (D, anti-codon, and T loops).
Source: RNAcentral